GAGAGGAGAGACAAAAUAAUGGUCAUGUGCGGUGACUACUUGGAAUUAAGCAUAGCCCAGAUGAAAUAAGGCAAAUUAUAUGACAAAAUUCCUGGCUGGUAAAUAGACGUGGUAGCAUAGAGGAUAGAUAUCAGCCAAUAUUUGGUGCUGAUUAAGGUUUAUCACAAAUAGAAAAGUUGGGUGUGUUUUACCUAGAAAAGAAAUGGCCAAAGUUGGGGUGGAAACCCUGGUUUGGGAUUGCAUUUUUCUAUAAUACAUUAGACAUUUUAUCACAACAACAGAAAAGGCACUAAUACUCACCAACAGUGUUUCACACCUGAAUGAGUUAUUUCAUGGACUUAAAGUAAACUGUGAAUUCUAAACCAGUUACCUCAUCAAUGAACCUCAUAAGGCUUUUGUCCCUAUGAGUUUCCAGGUAGGAACAAAACAGAGACAUCAUCAUACUUGAGCAGAUAGUUGACAGCUGCUAGAAUUUUUCUCAAGCAUGAAUAAUGUUCCCAAAAGUCCCCUAUACUUUUGGAAUAGAAUUUGAAAUGUAAAUGAAGAAAAUACACAAGAAAAAAAAAAGAAAAAAAAAAAGAAUGAAUAAUGUUGCUGGCCGGUGUUGGCACACACCUUUAAUCCCAGCACUUGGGAGGCAGAGGCAGGCAGAUUUCUGAGUUCAAGGCCAGCCUGGUCUACAAAGUGAGUUCCAGGACAUCCAGGGCUACACAGAGAAACCCUGUCUUGAAAAAAAAAUAAUAAUAAUGAAUAAUGUUGUGUAAGUUAAUAUAACUGUGUUGGCCAAAGUUUGGACCAUGUCAAUAGAUUCCCUUACUUUUGAGUUCUUUAAAGUCCUAAAAAAUUAUUGUGACAUGCAAACUUUAAACAAUCUAGUACAUGCUAAAGGUAUUACUCUCACAUACAGAUACUGUGACGUGCAAAAUGUUUCCACGAUGGCUCCAUUUACAGGGUUACCCUACAGCAUGGACUUUUCUCAAGAAAAAACAAGUGGUCCACACAAGCUUUACCACAUUCCUUAUUUUUACGAGGUUUCUUACAAGUCUGUGGUUUUUUUUUUUUUUGUUUUUUGUUUUGUUUGUUUGUUUGUUUGUUUUUUUUUUUUUGUGGUUUUUCAAGACAGGGUUUCUGUAUAGCCCUGGCUGUCCUGAAACUCACUUUGUAGACCAGGCUGGCCUCGAACUUAGAAAUCCGCCUGCCUCUGCCUCCCGAGUGCUGGGAUUAAAGGUGUGCACCACCACGCCCGGCUGCUAGACUGUGAGUCUUUUGCCUGUAUGAAUGAAUAUAAACUUCAUGUGUGCCCAGUCCUCACAGUAGUCAGAGAUGGCCUGAGACCUCCUGUAAGAGGAAAAAUGAUAGCUGUGGGUCUCUGAAAAUACAGGUAGGCACUUGAGCUCACUUAUUUGUUGGGCCAGCAAGAGCUUUUCAUGAUGUAGUGUGUAGCCUUUUAACAACCUCUUUUUUUUUUUUUAACUUACUUUGUAGACCAGGCUGGCUAGGAACUCAGAAAUCCACCUGCCUCUGCCUCCCAAGUGCUGGGAUUAAAGGAGUGCACCACCACGCCCUGCUAUGUCUGUGUUAAUUUAUACAUUAUAAGGUAAAUGUCAACUGCAAAGGCCUUACCACAUUACUCACACAGUUUUUCUCUCCAGUGUCUUCUAUGUAUUCUGAGAUAUAUUAUGUGCUCUUUUAUAUAUGCAAAGAAAACUGUGAUAUGCAAAGGUUUACCACAUUGUGUAUAUUCAUUCUCAUUCUCUCUCUCUCUCUCUCUCUCUCUCUCUCUCUCUCUCUCUCUCUCUCUCUCUCUCUCUCUCUCCUGUAUGAUGUGCUCCUUCCUGCAUUAGGAGAUAACUUUGCACAGCAUAGGUUUUACCACAUUGCUUAUACUCAGAAGGAUUCUGGCCCCUACAAAUAUGUUCAUGAUGAUUAAGAGUAUGAUCACAUUCACAGUCUUUCUCUUCAGUACGUUCACUUAUACAUUCAGAAAUGAUGGUGUUGUAAAAAGGUUGCUCACAUCCAUUUCCAUUUUGUAGCUUUUCCCUCCAGUAUGUAUUCUUUUAUUCUUUUGAAGAUGACCAUGAUUUGAAAAGACUUUCACACACUAAUUAAACUUGUAACGUUUCUCUCUAGUAUGUCCUUUAUGAAUUUGUAGAUUAUAAUGAUGGGAAAAGGCUUUUUGUUACAUUCAUUACAUUCAUAAGAUUUCACUCCAGUAUAAAUUAUUCUACGGAUUGGAGGUUACAAGGUUGGGAAAAGGCUUUGUCACACUGAUUCCAUUUGUAGGAUUUAUCUCCUGUAUAUCUUCUUCUAUGAAUUUUAAGAUAACUGUGUUGUGAAAGGCUUUGUCACUUUGAUUACAUUUGUAAGGCUUCUCUCCAGUAUGUGUUCUUUUAUGAUUUUGGAGGUAAGUGUUUUGAAAAGGUUUUAUCACAUUCAUUACAUUUGAAGGGUUUCUCUCUUAUAUGUGUACUUCUAUGAAUUUGGAGAUGAAUAAAUUGGGAAAAGGCUUUAUCACAUUCAUUACAUUUGUAGGGUUUCUCUACAGUAUGUGUUCUUCUAUGAAUGUGCAGAUUACUGUAUUGGGAAAAGGCUUUAUCACAUUGAUUACAUUAGUAGGGUUUUUCUCCAGGAUGUAUCCUUGUAUGUGUUUGGAGAUGACGAUUCUCAGAAAAGGCUUUAUCACAUUGAUUACAUUUGAACGGUUUCUCUCCUGUAUGUCUUCUUCUAUGAAUUUGAAGAUAACUGUGUUGUGAAAAGGCUGUCACAUUGAUUACAUUUGUACGGCUUCUCUCCAGUAUGUGUUCUUUUAUGAUUUUGGAAGCAAAAUUGUGUUGAAAACGGUUUAUCACAUUCAAUACAUUUGAAGGUUUUCUAUCCAGUAUGUAUUCUUCUAUGAAAAUAGAGAUGACCGUAUUGGGAAAAGGCUUUAUCACAUUGAUUACAUUUGUAGGGUUUUUCUCCAGUAUGUAUUCUUAUAUGUGUUUGGAGACUACGUUUCUGGGAGAAGGCUUUAUCACAUUGAUUACAUUUGUAGGGUUUAUCUCCAGUAUGUGUUUUUAUAUGAAUUUGGAGAUUACCAAAUUGGGAAAAGGCUUUAUCACAUUCAUUACAUUUGAAGGGUUUCUCUCCGGUAUGUGUUCUUCUAUGAAUGUGAAGAUUAGUGUGUUGUGAAAAGGCUUUAUCACAUUGAUUACAUUUGUAAGGCUUCUCUCCAGUAUGUGUUCUUUUAUGAUUUUGGAGGUGAAAGUGUUUUGAAAAGGCUUUAUCACAUUCAUCACAUUUGAAGGGUUUCUCUCCAGUAUGUGUGCUUCUAUGAAUUUGGAGAUGACCGUAUUGGGAAAAGGCUUUAUCACAUUGAUUACAUUUGUAGGGUUUUUCUCCAGUAUGCAUUCUUAUAUGUGUUUGGAGACUACGUUUCUGUGAAAAGGCUUUAUCACAUUCAUUACAUAUGAAGGGUUUCUCUCCAGUAUGAAUUCUUUCAUGCCUUUUAAGAUGACUGGGCGUUGCAAAUCCUUUACCACAUUGAUUACAUUCAUAGGGUUUCUGUCCAGUUUGUGUUCUUUUAUGUACUCGGAGACUUGUGUAAGGUAAAAAAUCUUUGACACAGUGAAUAACUACAGAGGGGAUCUUUUCUGUAUGAAUCCUUUCAUGCCUUUGGGCAUGACUGUGAUCAUGUAAAGCAAAGGCUUUACCACAUUGAGUAUAUUCAGAGGGUUUCUCUGCACUCUGACUCCUUUCACA
Molecule: long non-coding RNA, 3741 nt
Filed under: Mus musculus (house mouse)
Lineage: Eukaryota; Metazoa; Chordata; Mammalia; Rodentia; Muridae
Description: long non-coding RNA chr13:62637689-62641430
Source: RNAcentral